GAAGGUAAGGGUGAUCUGGCUGUCACAUCUGUCGCUUCAUUGAUCUCCAGGGUUGAAUCAGCUGAUCUGGCUGGCCAGGUCAGUUCCCUUUCCUCCUUUACCACUCACUCCAGAUGUGUCCCUCCUGAAGCUGUGCGCUCCAUCCAAGAGGAAGAUUGCCCCUGAUAGAGGAAGACCGGGAUACAGGUGUAGCUGCACUCCCCUGCUAGAACCUCUGAGGAAACUUCAAAAAUCCAGAACUAAGCUGUUUGACUUCAAGACAAGCUAAAAGAGGAUAUUUAUAUUGUAAUACUUUUA
This 297-nucleotide small nuclear RNA is filed under the name Octodon degus (degu). RNAcentral describes it as "7SK RNA (ENSODEG00000023053.1)". It matches the Rfam family "7SK RNA". From Rfam's summary of the family: 7SK was discovered as an abundant small nuclear RNA in the mid-70s but a possible function has only recently been suggested. Two independent studies have found that 7SK RNA binds the CDK9/cyclin T complex (known as elongation factor P-TEFb). P-TEFb activates transcription by phosphorylating the C-terminal domain of RNA polymerase II. The record is from Rfam by way of RNAcentral. Lineage: Eukaryota; Metazoa; Chordata; Mammalia; Rodentia; Octodontidae.